Molecule: long non-coding RNA, 265 nt
Filed under: Carica papaya (papaya)
Lineage: Eukaryota; Viridiplantae; Streptophyta; Magnoliopsida; Brassicales; Caricaceae
Description: long non-coding RNA (CPAP_LNC013784)
Source: RNAcentral
UUUCAUAAGGAAUGGUUGAGUAACGAUUUAUCGGUGAGCAUUUCUCUAAGCAUUAUUGUGUAAGGGAUGGGUCCGAGGAACGCGGCUCUGAUACCAACUAUAACGGCCCCAGAAAUUUAAAUGAAAUGUAUGUAUUAAAAAUAUCAAAUGCGGAAGCGUAAUAAAAAUUUUGAUUAACAUCCCUUAUACAAUAACCAAAACGUACUCAAAACAUGAAGGAACAAACUAGCUAAAAGAGAUACACGAAAUAAGAACUAUAAAUAUA